RNAcentral lists this ribosomal RNA (564 nucleotides) under uncultured bacterium. Its description in RNAcentral is "bacterial SSU rRNA". It matches the Rfam family "Bacterial small subunit ribosomal RNA", at positions 100 to 680 of the family's 1533-position model. The record is from RNAcentral.
GGACGGGUGAGUAACGCGUGAGGAACCUGCCUUUCAGAGGGGGACAACAGUUGGAAACGACUGCUAAUACCGCAUGAUACAUUUGGGUGGCAUCAUCUGAAUGUCAAAGAUUUAUCGCUGAAAGAUGGCCUCGCGUCUGAUUAGCUAGUUGGUGGGGUAACGGCCCACCAAGGCGACGAUCAGUAGCCGGACUGAGAGGUUGACCGGCCACAUUGGGACUGAGAUACGGCCCAGACUCCUACGGGAGGCAGCAGUGGGGAAUAUUGGGCAAUGGGCGCAAGCCUGACCCAGCAACGCCGCGUGAAGGAAGAAGGCUUUCGGGUUGUAAACUUCUUUUAAGAGGGAAGAGCAGAAGACUGUACCUCUAGAAUAAGCCACGGCUAACUACGUGCCAGCAGCCGCGGUAAUACGUAGGUGGCAAGCGUUGUCCGGAUUUACUGGGUGUAAAGGGCGUGCAGCCGGGAAUGCAAGUCAGAUGUGAAAUCCAUGGGCUUAACCCAUGAACUGCAUUUGAAACUGUAUUUCUUGAGUACUGGAGAGGCAAUCGGAAUUCCUAGUGUAGCG